CGCUAUCACUCCUACGGGAGGCAGCAGUAGGGAAUCUUCCACAAUGGGCGAAAGCCUGAUGGAGCAACGCCGCGUGUGUGAUGAAGGGUUUCGGCUCGUAAAACACUGUUGUAAGAGAAGAAUGACAUUGAGAGUAACUGUUCAAUGUGUGACGGUAUCUUACCAGAAAGGAACGGCUAAAUACGUGCCAGCAGCCGCGGUAAUACGUAUGUUCCAAGCGUUAUCCGGAUUUAUUGGGCGUAAAGCGAGCGCAGACGGUUAUUUAAGUCUGAAGUGAAAGCCCUCAGCUCAACUGAGGAAUUGCUUUGGAAACUGGAUGACUUGAGUGCAGUAGAGGAAAGUGGAACUCCAUGUGUAGCGGUGAAAUGCGUAGAUAUAUGGAAGAACACCAGUGGCGAAGGCGGCUUUCUGGACUGUAACUGACGUUGAGGCUCGAAAGUGUGGGUAGCAAACAGGAUUAGAUACCCUGGUAG
This 473-nucleotide ribosomal RNA is filed under the name uncultured bacterium. Its description in RNAcentral is "bacterial SSU rRNA". It matches the Rfam family "Bacterial small subunit ribosomal RNA", at positions 328 to 793 of the family's 1533-position model. The record is from RNAcentral.